Molecule: long non-coding RNA, 951 nt
Organism: Cotesia glomerata
Lineage: Eukaryota; Metazoa; Arthropoda; Insecta; Hymenoptera; Braconidae
Exons: 3
Source: RefSeq, a predicted model, not a curated record
UUGGCAUAUUCAAUUUGUAUUCAUCAAUCGCAAUGAAAUUAAAAUUAUUACUUUUUAUUCAAAUAGUGUCGUUAAUGAUGCAAAUGAUAAGUUCCUACCUAUUAUUACAUGAGGUUUCUCUCAAUCAAAAUGAUAGUGAAAUAAUAAGACAAGAAAAUUUUCUACUUAAAGUCAAAAAGUCGGUAAAAAUGGAUCUUUGGGACGAAGCGAUUGUUUAUUACCAAAUAGAUGACAUUUUUAAAGGAACGCAACGUAGAAUAAUAAAACAAGGUCUACGCAUGUGGGAAGAAUCAAGUUGCAUUCAAUUUGUCCAAAGAAAUUCGAAUAUCCAUCGAGAUUAUGUCGCCAUUACUAAAUUGGAAUGCGGGUGCUGUUACAAGGAGAAUUACCAAAUGAAUUACCAUUCAUUUUCGCAGAAAUGAAGGUCGCAGUGAAUUGAGCUUAGCUGACGGAUGUGAAGAAAUAGAGAUUAUUCUUUAUGAAUUGGGGCACGUUUUGGGCUUUUACCAUGUGCACCAACAUCCAGACCGUGACCAGUUGGUUCAAAUCAACGAGAGAAAUAUUGAUCAAGGUUAUGAACCAGAAUUUCAGCGGCUCUCACGAGCGCAUGUCGAUACUUUAGGACUGCCUUACGAUUGCCAAUCUGUGAUGUAUUAUCCAAGCGAUGCUUAUGCAUAUUACAAUUUUUGGACUACAAUAGUCCCGAAGCAAACUAUUAAUGGCACAGUACCAAACAUUGGCAACCAAAAAAAUCUAAGCCAGGGUGACGUUAAGGCUAUUAAUCUUCUAUAUAAAUGUCCAACUUGCGGUGUUUUUUAUGGCGUGGUAGGACUCAUGUCAGCUCCAAUGAUUCUGACUCAGAUCUAGUAUACUGUCAGUGACGAAUUGUAGCUUCUAAAGGGGAACGAAUAAUACUCGACGUUUCGACAUCGAAUAUUUCCAUGAAUCAUA